RNAcentral lists this ribosomal RNA (460 nucleotides) under uncultured bacterium. Its description in RNAcentral is "bacterial SSU rRNA". It matches the Rfam family "Bacterial small subunit ribosomal RNA", at positions 32 to 507 of the family's 1533-position model. The record is from RNAcentral.
AACGCUGGCGGCGUGCUUAACACAUGCAAGUCGAACGGUGACCCAGGGCUUGCCCUGGUGAUCAGUGGCGAACGGGUGAGUAACACGUGGGCAACCUGCCCUGACUUCGGGAUAACUCCUCGAAGAGGAGCUAAUACCGGAUACGACCACUUCGGACUAUCCGAUGGUGGUGGAAAGUUUUCGGUCAGGGAUGGGCCCGCGGCCUAUCAGCUAGUUGGUGGGGUAAUGGCCUACCAAGGCGACGACGGGUAGCCGGCCUGAGAGGGCGACCGGCCACACUGGGACUGAGACACGGCCCAGACUCCUACGGGAGGCAGCAGUGGGGAAUAUUGCGCAAUGGGCGAAAGCCUGACGCAGCGACGCCGCGUGAGGGAUGAAGGCCUUCGGGUUGUAAACCUCUUUCAGCAGGGACGAAGCGAAAGUGACGGUACCUGCAGAAGAAGCACCGGCUAACUACGUG